GACGAACGCUGGCGGCGUGCUUAACACAUGCAAGUCGAACGGAAAGGCCCUGCUUUUGUGGGGUGCUCGAGUGGCGAACGGGUGAGUAACACGUGAGUAACCUGCCCUUGACUUUGGGAUAACUUCAGGAAACUGGGGCUAAUACCGGAUAGGAGCUCCUGCUGCAUGGUGGGGGUUGGAAAGUUUCGGCGGUUGGGGAUGGACUCGCGGCUUAUCAGCUUGUUGGUGGGGUAGUGGCUUACCAAGGCUUUGACGGGUAGCCGGCCUGAGAGGGUGACCGGCCACAUUGGGACUGAGAUACGGCCCAGAAUCCUACGGGAGGCAGCAGUGGGGAAUAUUGCACAAUGGGCGGAAGCCUGAUGCAGCAACGCCGCGUGCGGGAUGACGGCCUUCGGGUUGUAAACCGCUUUCGCCGGUGACGAAGCGGGAGUGACGGUAGUGGGUAAAGAAGCACCGGCUAACUACGUG
This 468-nucleotide ribosomal RNA is filed under the name uncultured bacterium. RNAcentral describes it as "partial 16S ribosomal RNA". It matches the Rfam family "Bacterial small subunit ribosomal RNA", at positions 28 to 507 of the family's 1533-position model. The record is from RNAcentral.